This 447-nucleotide long non-coding RNA is filed under the name Daucus carota (carrot). RNAcentral describes it as "long non-coding RNA (DCAR_LNC003576)". Lineage: Eukaryota; Viridiplantae; Streptophyta; Magnoliopsida; Apiales; Apiaceae. The record is from RNAcentral.
AUGCCUGACAUGUAAUUGUUAAUCAGCACAACUCAAUAAGCAAGAGCAAUUAAACAAUCAGUUUGGGGUUGGGGGAAUCAUGCAUCUAUCAUAGCUAGGGUUCAACUUAACCCCGGAUUAUAAAUCUACUCACUCAUAAUUAAACUAACAAAACACAAGAUGUAAUAAAAACGCAUAAUUAAACUAUUAUUAAGAAUAGAAAAAAAACCUUCAGUCUUCAAAUCUUGAACAAGAAGAAAAGUUAAAGUCUCCUCUCUUCUCUCUCUAUCUCUAUGUAUGUAUGAUAAAAACUAAUUGAUCUCCUAGAAUAAAAGUAUUUUAAUGUUUUUAUCAAAUUACAAGGUAAUCUCCGAAACCGAAUAGGAGUCCGUUAUUAAAAUUCGCAGGUCUGCUUUCUCCACAGUUUCUGGGCUUUUCCAGUUGGAUUUUGGAUAUUGGACCAUCUCU